UGAUCCUGGCUCAGGAUGAACGCUGGCGGCGUGCUUACACAUGCAAGUCGAACGGUGAAGCCUGCUAUUUAUAGUGGGUGGAUCAGUGGCGGACUGGUGAGUAACACGUAUGUGACCUGCCCCAAAGAGGAGAAUAACUUGACGAAAGUGAAGCUAAUACUCCAUGUGGUCAAUCAUUCGGUUGAUUGAUUAAGGCUAAGGCGCUUUGGGAGGGGCUUGCGGCCCAUCAGCUAGUUGGUAGGGUAAAGGCCUACCAAGGCGAAGACGGGUAGCUGGUCUGAGAGGACGAUCAGCCACAAUGGCACUGAAACACGGGCCAUACUCCUACGGGAGGCAGCAGUGAGGAAUAUUGCACAAUCGACGCAAGUCGGAUGCAGCAACGCCGCGUGGACGAUGAAGGCCUUCGGGUUGUAAAGUCCUUUUAAGAGGGACGAGGAAGGACGGUACCUCUUGAAUAAGUCUCGGCUAACUACGUGCCAGCAGCCGCGGUAACACGUAGGAGGCGAGCGUUAUCCGGAUUUAUUGGGCGUAAAGCGCAUGCAGGUGGCUAGGUAAGUCGGGUGUGAAAGCCCCGGACUUAAUCCGGGGAGGUCAUUCGAUACUGCUUGGCUUGAGAGCGGGAGAGGGAAGUGGAAUUCUCGGUGUAGUGGUGAUAUGCGUAGAUAUCGAGAGGAACACCAGUGGCGAAGGCGGCUUCCUGGCCCGUAUCUGACACUAAGAUGCGAAAGCGUGGGUAGCAAACGGACUUAGAUACUCCGGUAGUCCACGCUGUAAACGAUGGGUACUAGGUGUAGGGGGUGUAAAACUCUCUGUGCCGUAGUUAACGCACUAAGUACCCGCCUGGGGACUACGGUCGCAAGGCUAAAACUCAAAGGAAUUGACGGGGGCCCGCACAAGCAGCGGAGCGUGUGGUUCAAUUCGAAGAUACACGAAGAACCUUACUUGGGCUUGACAUGUUGGUGGUAGUGAAGCGAAAGCGGAACGAUCCUUCGGGAAGCCAUCACAGGUGCUGCAUGGCUGUCGUCAGCUCGUGCCGUGAGGUGUUGGGUUAAGUCCUGUAACGAGUGCAACCCUCGCUGCCAGUUACAAGUGUCUGGCGGGACUGCCGGUGACAAACCGGAGGAAGGUGGGGAUGACGUCAAGUCAGCAUGGCCUU
RNAcentral lists this ribosomal RNA (1156 nucleotides) under uncultured organism. Its description in RNAcentral is "bacterial SSU rRNA". It matches the Rfam family "Bacterial small subunit ribosomal RNA", at positions 14 to 1202 of the family's 1533-position model. The record is from RNAcentral.